This 929-nucleotide unclassified non-coding RNA is filed under the name Bombus terrestris (buff-tailed bumblebee). Its description in RNAcentral is "misc RNA ENSBTSG00005035262.1". Lineage: Eukaryota; Metazoa; Arthropoda; Insecta; Hymenoptera; Apidae. The record is from RNAcentral.
UUUCGAUGAGCAACGAAGAGUUGAGGAAAGGGGAAUAGAAAGAGAAAAAGAGGAAGAAAGGGGCGGGUGUAAAUCGAUUCUCUUGUCAACGAUGCUAGAAUGUGUUUUUCUUGAGAAAACUCGAUCAUUCGAGGAGAAAGAAAAAAUCAAUGUUUCUCAUGCAAAUUUCUAUUAUUGCGGCAAGCCAUGGAGCAAAACGAGACGCUCCAACUUCCGCCUACCUCAUUGAGGUAUUUCUGGCGCCGUAAUAUCCCUCAAAAAUAAAAUACGCUGAAACUCGAAAGUCAGAUACCUCACAAAUGUCCAAGAUCCUCCUUCUAGAAAGAAAUUUCUUGGCUAUUAAUAUUUGUUACACGCGCACGCUAACAAACAGUUCAAAAAUGGACAUAACGGCAAAUUCACAUUAUACUAUAUGGCAUCUUAGACACCGAAAUUACCGACAUUACAUUACAUAUUUACAUACAAUUACAUAUUUUACAUUACUUUUGCUCGGAAAACGUAAGGAUUCUUCGACGUAGUUCUGUGAAACGCGGCAAUAGUUAUCACAGCAAAAGGAAAGAAACGAGAGAUCGUGCAAGAAUCACGUGAGUCAGUCGAUUAUUUCACGAACACGUUGCGAUCACGCGGGCUUGUCUGCGCGAGAAGCGUCUUGGCGGUCGCGAUGUGACGGUCGUAAAAAGGUUUCACGGUCCGUUCAGAAUCAACCAGGUCGAAGAACAAGAUGGCUUGAUAACUCGAUAGGAACGUGUUGUUUCGCCCUCCUUUCACGAUCGCCUCGAAAGUAUCGCGACUUCUGAUUAAAUUCACUCGACACGCCAGUAGAGCCAAUUAGAUAGAAAUAUUGCCGCAAUAACGCACGCGGCAAUUAAAGAUUUUCGCUAUUCUAAUUAACAGAUAUCGAGAGAUACGCGCUACUGGCAGUUACUUAC